UACUUGGAUGAUAUUCUCUUUCAGUCCAUGGAGAUGGAUCCAUGCACUUCAACUAAUGAGUUGAGAGUCUUUGUGGGGACUUGGAAUGUUGCUGGAAGGUCUCCCAUAGGAAGCUUGGCGGUGGAUUUGGAUGAGUGGUUGAA
Molecule: non-coding RNA, 143 nt
Organism: Prunus avium (sweet cherry)
Lineage: Eukaryota; Viridiplantae; Streptophyta; Magnoliopsida; Rosales; Rosaceae
Source: RefSeq, a predicted model, not a curated record